UACAGAGAGUGCAAACGUUGUUCGGAAUCACUGGGCUUAAAGAGCACGUAGGCGGCGCUACAAGUGUCGGGUGAAAUCCCACGGCUCACCCGUGGAACUGCCCGGCAGACUGUGGUGCUCGAGUGUGGUAGGGGAGAGCGGAACUCCAGGUGGAGCGGUGAAAUGCGUAGAUAUCUGGAGGAACACCGGUGGCGAAGGCGGCUCUCUGGUCCACAACUGACGCUGAGGUGCGAAAGCUAGGGGAGCAAACGGGGAUUAGAAACCCGUGUAGU
RNAcentral lists this ribosomal RNA (272 nucleotides) under uncultured bacterium. RNAcentral describes it as "partial 16S ribosomal RNA". It matches the Rfam family "Bacterial small subunit ribosomal RNA", at positions 524 to 794 of the family's 1533-position model. The record is from RNAcentral.